CGCGACCCCAGGUCAGGCGGGGCUACCCGCUGAAU
This 35-nucleotide ribosomal RNA is filed under the name Ulmus rubra (slippery elm). RNAcentral's name for it is "partial 26S ribosomal RNA". The record is from RNAcentral. Lineage: Eukaryota; Viridiplantae; Streptophyta; Magnoliopsida; Rosales; Ulmaceae.